Molecule: long non-coding RNA, 246 nt
Filed under: Mytilus galloprovincialis (Mediterranean mussel)
Lineage: Eukaryota; Metazoa; Mollusca; Bivalvia; Mytilida; Mytilidae
Source: RNAcentral
UCAGCUAUUGCUAGCAAUAGCAAAUCUAGUUAUUAUGGCACCCUCAACGGAGUUGGGGUGACAUAUUGUUAUUCUACGUUUCUUUUUUUUCUUAUUUUUCUUCUUGCAACAAAUUUUGUCCAGGGGAUUUCUUGAAAUCCAAUGGACCAAUGUCGAUGGAACUCUACUAUAAUAAGUACCCCGACGUGCAGAGUUGCAGUAAGCAUGGAAUGGUUCAAGAUGGCUGCCGUUACCAUGGAAACAGAA